UACCUACUCAUUCGUUGGUGUAGCAGGUGGAUCCGGGAUAUGCAACUACAUCUGCAUCCUUACGGUUCCACGUGACGCACUGAACUAAUGCAGAGGUGGGGAUUUUUACACCUCCAACACCAAGCAAAUGUGAUGAGCGGCUAAUUCGGAAAAUAAAGUCAACUGUCUCUUCAUAUGAAGACCACUUUUACAACCUUGGAGUACACAUCGGAAUCCCUCAUGCAGUCACCAUUGGAAAUGAUUUCGUUUGGCAAAAUACAUCCGGUUGGACUUGGAGUAAUAUACAUGUACAUCUGGGAAGUACUGAUAGGUCCCUACAAGUCCCCAGUUUUCCCGGAACGAUCUGGGGGUACGACUCCCCCUCACUACGUCACUCAGUCUCACUGUAUGAUUCUGUUGGUCUAUUCUCACUAUCGUCACGUGCCUGCAACGUGAAAAACUUUAGAAAACCACCGAGAAACCAGCGUGUUGACCCAAUGAUUUCCUCGUGAUGUGCGGCCUUUUAAUUUGUGAAAGGCACAAAAACUGAAACGUCAUUUACGCAAAGCUCUUCCGAGUUUUGCUACGUCGUGUGUGGACAGGUAGGGCUUUACACUGCUAGUCAAUAGAGACUCAGUUAUCGAUUUCCCGCUCGAAAAAACAAGGCUGGUUUCCCGGUUUCAGAUAGACUGGUUGGCUAUACCACGUGGACUGACAUUUUAUAGAAACGGUGGUAUCGGGAAAGGUCCCCUCGAGUUGGGGAAUUCCAAUUUUCUUUAUGUUUAACCUCUUGAAGAAUCUUGUGUCAUUGCAUCAUCGUGUAGGUUUUCAUUGUAUAUUUGACACUAAUACGGGGAUUUGAACUAAUCUCCACUUGUCAGGGGUAAUUUUGUCCUGAUUUUCUUUUCAGUCGAGUCAAACAAGUUUACGAUUAAAAGGCCAGUAUGUUGUUUCCGUUUUGGUAGUGUAAUUUUAUUCAGGUGUGCUUUACCGAGGGACGUUUUCCGUUACGUUGUUGCAGCGAAUGCUUUUCAGGUUUUGUCUUUAUAUUACCAAAUCUUUCAAAUUGCCUCAAGUUUGAUUUCUUGCACAGCAUUUUAGAUAAUUCAACCGGUUUAAAAAGUGAGUAUCAUACGUUCACAUUACUAUCUUAACUUUCCAGAGGUGCCAUUAUUAAUUAUUUAAGGUAUUUGAUGCGGUAUGUCA
Molecule: long non-coding RNA, 1185 nt
Organism: Acanthaster planci (crown-of-thorns starfish)
Lineage: Eukaryota; Metazoa; Echinodermata; Asteroidea; Valvatida; Acanthasteridae
Source: RefSeq, a predicted model, not a curated record